RNAcentral lists this ribosomal RNA (153 nucleotides) under fungal sp. CTH-2008. RNAcentral describes it as "5.8S ribosomal RNA". The stretch from base 1 to 128 matches the Rfam family "5.8S ribosomal RNA", at positions 27 to 154 of the family's 154-position model. From Rfam's summary of the family: 5.8S ribosomal RNA (5.8S rRNA) is a component of the large subunit of the eukaryotic ribosome. It is transcribed by RNA polymerase I as part of the 45S precursor that also contains 18S and 28S rRNA. The record is from RNAcentral. Lineage: Eukaryota; Fungi.
CUGGCAUCGAUGAAGAACGCAGCGAAAUGCGAUAAGUAAUGUGAAUUGCAGAAUUCAGUGAAUCAUCGAAUCUUUGAACGCACAUUGCGCCCCCUGGUAUUCCGGGGGGCAUGCCUGUUCGAGCGUCAUUUCACCACUCAAGCCUCGCUUGGU